GCCUGGGUGGCUCAGUCAGUUAAGCAUCUGACUUCGGCUCAGGUCAUAAUCUCAUAGUUUGUGAGUUUGAGCCUCACAUCAGGCU
This 85-nucleotide transfer RNA is filed under the name Felis catus (domestic cat). It matches the Rfam family "tRNA". From Rfam's summary of the family: Transfer RNA (tRNA) molecules are approximately 80 nucleotides in length. Their secondary structure includes four short double-helical elements and three loops (D, anti-codon, and T loops). The record is from Rfam by way of RNAcentral. Lineage: Eukaryota; Metazoa; Chordata; Mammalia; Carnivora; Felidae.